RNAcentral lists this ribosomal RNA (253 nucleotides) under uncultured bacterium. RNAcentral's name for it is "partial 16S ribosomal RNA". It matches the Rfam family "Bacterial small subunit ribosomal RNA", at positions 524 to 776 of the family's 1533-position model. The record is from RNAcentral.
UACGGAGGGUGCGAGCGUUGUCCGGAAUCAUUGGGCGUAAAGCGCGUGUAGGCGGCCCGGUAAGUCCGCUGUGAAAGUCCAGGGCUCAACCCUGGAAUGCCGGUGGAUACUGUCGGGCUCGAGUCCGGAAGAGGCGAGUGGAAUUCCUGGUGUAGCGGUGAAAUGCGCAGAUAUCAGGAGGAACACCGAUGGCGAAGGCAGCUCGCUGGGACGGUACUGACGCUGAGACGCGAAAGCGUGGGGAGCAAACAGG